Molecule: ribosomal RNA, 253 nt
Filed under: uncultured bacterium
Lineage: Bacteria
Description: partial 16S ribosomal RNA
Rfam family: Bacterial small subunit ribosomal RNA
Source: RNAcentral
UACAGAGGGGGCAAGCGUUGUUCGGAAUUACUGGGCGUAAAGGGCGCGUAGGCGGCCUGUUAAGUCAGACGUGAAAUCCCCGGGCUUAACCUGGGAACUGCACUUGUGACUGCACAGCUGGAGUACGGCAGAGGGGGAUGGAAUUCCGCGUGUAGCAGUGAAAUGCGUAGAUAUGCGGAGGAACACCGAUGGCGAAGGCAGUCCCCUGGGCCUGUACUGACGCUCAUGCACGAAAGCGUGGGGAGCAAACAGG